GUGCUCACUUUGGCAGCACAUAUACUAAAAUUGGAAUGAUACAGAGAAGAUUAGUGUAGCCCCUGCAAAAGAAUGACACACAAAAAUUAAUCAUAUGUUUUUUUUUU
Small nuclear RNA from Suncus etruscus (white-toothed pygmy shrew), 107 nucleotides. NCBI's taxonomy places the organism in Eukaryota, Metazoa, Chordata, Mammalia, Eulipotyphla, Soricidae. The record is from RefSeq and is a predicted model, not a curated record.